UGAAGUGGUAAGGGUAAAAUUGGAAGGAAUCAAAAGUUAAUGGCAUAACGGUAGAUAUGUUGAAGUGUUAGGAGCAAAAUGGAAAUUUAAUAAUAUUAAACAAAGGGUGAAUAGUGUUUUGAUGUGAUUUAAUUAGGGGGUUUGGUGUGGCUUUUGGAUGGAAACCGAGAGAGAGUCACAGAGGGAGUCUCAGACGGACAGAGAGGAAGAAAAAGAAGGAGAGGAAAGGAAAGGAAGAAAGGAAAGGAAGAAAGAAAGAGGAAGGAGAUCCCGGUUGCGCUGCCAGCUGAAGGAAAAAGUGUAGAUCUCCUUCCCCUCUAUGCAAGGAACUCGAUUUUCAAAAAGAAAAAGGUAAAUAUCCGUCCCUAUCUAGUCUUUUGAUGACAUUAGGCUAUACAAAGGGUGGAUAUAGUCUAGAGGGGUCGGAUAAGGGUUGUAGAGGCGGUUAAAAGAGGAAUAAUCGGAUUUUGACAAAUUUUUCCGGCACUACGGAAAAACUGUGUCGAAGUCCCAACUUCGGCAAAUUAUUUAGGGGGUCAAACGACCUCCGAUUGCAAUGCA
Molecule: long non-coding RNA, 561 nt
Filed under: Phoenix dactylifera (date palm)
Lineage: Eukaryota; Viridiplantae; Streptophyta; Magnoliopsida; Arecales; Arecaceae
Description: long non-coding RNA (PDAC_LNC013426)
Source: RNAcentral